This 75-nucleotide transfer RNA is filed under the name Pseudomonadota bacterium. RNAcentral's name for it is "tRNA-Met". It matches the Rfam family "tRNA". From Rfam's summary of the family: Transfer RNA (tRNA) molecules are approximately 80 nucleotides in length. Their secondary structure includes four short double-helical elements and three loops (D, anti-codon, and T loops). Lineage: Bacteria; Pseudomonadati; Pseudomonadota. RNAcentral also lists the same sequence under 2 other names. The record is from RNAcentral.
CGCGGGAUAGAGCAGUGGCAGCUCGUCGGGCUCAUAACCCGGAGGUCGGAGGUUCGAAUCCUCCUCCCGCUACCA